AUGGAUAAAGGUGACCCCAAAUAAACCAAACAGCAAGAUAUCUGCUUAUGCCUUCUUCAGGCAGACAUGCAAGAAAGAACAUAAGAAGCAAAACCCAGAGGUUCUAGUCAAUUUUGUGGAGUUUUUCAAGAAGUGCUCUGAGAGGUGGAAAGCCAUGUCUAGCAAAGAGAAAUCAAAGUUUGAUGAAAUGGCAAAGGCAGAUAAAGUCCGCUACGGUUAGGAGAUGAAAGAUUAUGGACCAGCAAAUGGAGGCAAGAAGAAGGAGGACCCAAAUGGCCCCAAAAGGCCUUCAUCUGCAUUUUUCUCAUUCUGCUAGGAAUUCUGCCCCAAGAUCAAAUCCAUAAAAACUGGCAUCACCAUUGGAGAUGUGGCACAAAAGCUGGGUGAAAUGUGGAAUAACUUAAGUGACAGUGAAAAAGCAGCCUUACAUCACCAAGACAGCAAAGCUGAAGGAAAAGAAUGAGAAGGAUGUUGCUGACUAUAAGUCUAAAGGAAAGUUUGAUGGCACCAGGAGUCCUGCUAAAGUUGCCUGGAAAAAUGUGGAAGAAGAGGAGCCACAUGAACAGAAUCCCAACUCUAACAACAAAAAUAACAGGAAGCA
Molecule: long non-coding RNA, 601 nt
Filed under: Mus musculus (house mouse)
Lineage: Eukaryota; Metazoa; Chordata; Mammalia; Rodentia; Muridae
Description: long non-coding RNA chr14:9863101-9863702
Source: RNAcentral